AGGAAAGAAUGUAAACAAUAAGAUGAUAUGAUAUUUUCUUCUGGUAAUAGAAGAAAAAAAGACAAAAAUUAAAAGCAAAAAAGAGAUUGAUAAAAAAAAAAGAGACCCAGAAGAGGAGUGAAAAGAUGGAGAAAGAUGGAUAGUCAUCGAAAAGACAGCAACUCUUCAAUGUUUUUGGAGAAAACCUACUCCUAAGGCUCAUCCAAACCAACCUUUGCCGGCUUCACUACUUGGUAUGCCAUCUUCUCAAUGAUCCUUUUGCUGCUGCUUACCCAAGGAUGAGGAGGCCGCAAGAUGGUAUUGCAGCGACCUGGGGCUCUGUUUCUUUCUUUUGUGGAAAACAGUACUAGGGUUAAUGAAGUGAAUGUUUAAUAAACUUUUCUAUUAUUUUGUUUUGACUCCUAAAUAUUUUAAACAACAUAUAAUUACUCCUAUAAGUUUUUCUAGAUUUUCAAUUGUAGCUUCAAUUUCUU
Molecule: long non-coding RNA, 473 nt
Filed under: Coffea arabica (coffee)
Lineage: Eukaryota; Viridiplantae; Streptophyta; Magnoliopsida; Gentianales; Rubiaceae
Description: long non-coding RNA (CARA_LNC000517)
Source: RNAcentral